ACGCCCUGCAUUGGCUGCAAGACUUGCGCUGAGAUUUCGUCGUCCUGUCGAAAUUGUGAAGUUACUUGUAUUGUAAGCCAAGGUUCUCCUGAAUUACAGAAAGAUGUCAUGGUAGAGGUUUGUGCCCAUUGAACAGUGGAAGGUCUUUUCUGUACCACCAGUGUCCAUCAUUUACUGUGACACUGGUGUGAUCCCAAUUUAAAGACCCGUGAACAAGAAGAGAAUUAAGCUGGAAGGAACAUUAAAUUUUGGUGAUGCUGAUCUCUUUUGAUGGAGUCCAUUAAUUGAUAUGAACUGGAUUUUAAUUCAGGACCAAAAGUGGGGUUCGGAAUUCUUCAGUAGAAUUUACAUGGAAGAAUCUUUUUAGGUGAUUGAGUAAUGAAGACUAUGGGCAUUUUGUGUUGUUGCUCCCUGAAACCAAUCUGCUUUUUCUGACCAUCGGGCUCCAAGCUAUACCAUUAACGGAGAAUAGAUUUAGACACUUCAGGAGACAAAUAAAAUUAAAAUAUCCUGUGAAACUGAUGGAAUUAAGAAAUUCUACAAGGAUGAAGUGAAGAAUUCAGUAGAAAUUUCUGAAGGGUCAAGAGGUCAACUGACGGCUUGUCACAUGGAGCAUAUAACCUGGUAUGUAUGACAGACAGUAAGUCAUGAUUUGGAAUGAUCUCAUCUCAAUGUAAAUAUGAUAAUAUAUUUUAAUGUUAAAAUGUUCUCUUGGAUAAAGUUGGUUGGGACAUGAUGUAAUCUUGUGAGAAUUCCUUCAGACUUCACAGGAUUUAAUCAUGUGACCAACAAGUUUAUAUCCCAUAGAACUAUUUAACAUUUUUAUUCUUUCUUAAAUAAUAAGAAAUAAACAAUAUUAUAUACAUGCAAUAUAAUUAUACACAAUAUACAUAACAGUAUGUUUACACACACACACAAUACAUGUACAUAUAAAAUAUACCUGUAAUUUGUGCACAAUCCACAGAAAUGUUCCUCUAUAGUAUUUAUACAGAGCCUGUUUAAGUGUUGUAUUCACACAUACAUAUAGUUUGUAUUUCAUCUAUCAAUAUGUAAACAAUUCAUAUCAAUGUAACACCCACAGUUUGUUUAUAUAUGUAGAUAUACACACAGUUUGUUUAUAUAUGUAGGUAUACACACAGUUUGUUUAUAAAUGUAGGUAUACACUCAGUUUGUUUAUAUAUGUAGAUAUACACACAGUUUGUUUAUAUAUGUAGAUAUACACACAGUUUGUUUAUAUAUGUAGAUAUACACACAGUUUGUUUAUGUAUGUAGAUAUACACACAGUUUGUUUAUAUAUGUAGAUAUACACACAGUUUGUUUAUAAAUGUAGAUAUACACACAGUUUGUUUAUAUAUGUAGAUAUACACACAGUUUGUUUAUAUAUGUAGAUAUACACACAGACUGUUUAUAUAUGUAG
Molecule: long non-coding RNA, 1417 nt
Organism: Magallana angulata
Lineage: Eukaryota; Metazoa; Mollusca; Bivalvia; Ostreida; Ostreidae
Exons: 6
Source: RefSeq, a predicted model, not a curated record